GUUAAUGAUGAUUAUACCACACUUAUCACGACGGUCUACUGUUGUUUAAGGACUGUUAAUCCUUAAAUAUUGAUGAUAAAUUCGGCCUUGACCGGCCGUGGUUCCUGAUU
Molecule: small nucleolar RNA, 110 nt
Filed under: Candida maltosa Xu316
Lineage: Eukaryota; Fungi; Ascomycota; Pichiomycetes; Serinales; Debaryomycetaceae
Description: Small nucleolar RNA snR73
Rfam family: Small nucleolar RNA snR73
Source: Rfam by way of RNAcentral